UAGGGAAUCUUCGGCAAUGGACGGAAGUCUGACCGAGCAACGCCGCGUGAGUGAAGAAGGUUUUCGGAUCGUAAAGCUCUGUUGUAAGAGAAGAACGAGUGUGAGAGUGGAAAGUUCACACUGUGACGGUAUCUUACCAGAAAGGGACGGCUAACUACGUGCCAGCAGCCGCGGUAAUACGUAGGUCCCGAGCGUUGUCCGGAUUUAUUGGGCGUAAAGCGAGCGCAGGCGGUUAGAUAAGUCUGAAGUUAAAGGCUGUGGCUUAACCAUAGUAGGCUUUGGAAACUGUUUAACUUGAGUGCAAGAGGGGAGAGUGGAAUUCCAUGUAUAGCGGUGAAAUGCGUAGAUAUAUGGAGGAACACCGGUGGCGAAAGCGGCUCUCUGGCUUGUAACUGACGCUGAGGCUCGAAAGCGUGGGGAGCAAACAGGAUUAGAUACCCUGGUAGUCCACGCUGUAAACGAUGAGUGCUAGGUGUUAGACCCUUUCCGGGGUUUAGUGCCGUAGCUAACGCAUUAAGCACUCCGCCUGGGGAGUACGACCGCAAGGUUG
RNAcentral lists this ribosomal RNA (550 nucleotides) under uncultured bacterium. RNAcentral's name for it is "bacterial SSU rRNA". It matches the Rfam family "Bacterial small subunit ribosomal RNA", at positions 355 to 896 of the family's 1533-position model. The record is from RNAcentral.